This is a non-coding RNA of Neolamprologus brichardi, 306 nucleotides long. The record is from RefSeq and is a predicted model, not a curated record. Lineage: Eukaryota; Metazoa; Chordata; Actinopteri; Cichliformes; Cichlidae.
UUUUUCAGGAGUAUGACGAGCCAAGACCUGACAAAAACCUGGAUGAACUUCAGAUCAACAGUUUGAAGGUUCAGCGUGUUCUCAGCUCACACAAGGAAAAGCUGCAGAGUGUGACAUUAAUGUCGGCAGAGCUGAGCAAUGACAUCGCCAAAGUGAGGCAGAUGCUGGCAAAAAUAGAGGAGGAGUUAGAGCAUGCUGAGAAGGAGCAUUCAGCGGCUGAAGCCUUUAACCACAAACUCAGACGGCAGCUCAGAGAUUAUCAGGCUCCUGAUAUCACCGAGUACAUGCAUGUCAAAGACAAAUACA